UACGUAGGGGGCGAGCGUUGUCCGGAAUCAUUGGGCGUAAAGCGCGUGUAGGCGGCCCGGUAAGUCCGCUGUGAAAGUCCAGGGCUCAACCCUGGGAUGCCGGUGGAUACUGUCGGGCUUGAGUACGGAAGAGGCGAGUGGAAUUCCAGGUGUAGCGGUGAAAUGCGUAGAUAUCUGGAGGAACACCGGUGGCGAAGGCGGCAUCCUGGACCAACACUGACGCUGAGGAGCGAAAGCCAGGGGAGCAAACGGG
RNAcentral lists this ribosomal RNA (253 nucleotides) under uncultured bacterium. RNAcentral describes it as "partial 16S ribosomal RNA". It matches the Rfam family "Bacterial small subunit ribosomal RNA", at positions 524 to 776 of the family's 1533-position model. The record is from RNAcentral.